Molecule: ribosomal RNA, 436 nt
Filed under: uncultured bacterium
Lineage: Bacteria
Description: bacterial SSU rRNA
Rfam family: Bacterial small subunit ribosomal RNA
Source: RNAcentral
GAUGAACGCUGGCGGCGUGCUUAACACAUGCAAGUCGAACGAGGCACUUUAUUUGAUUUCCUUCGGGACUGAUUAUUUUGUGACUGAGUGGCGGACGGGUGAGUAACGCGUGGGUAACCUGCCUUGUACAGGGGGAUAACAGUUGGAAACGGCUGCUAAUACCGCAUAAGCGCACGGCAUCGCAUGAUGCAGUGUGAAAAACUCCGGUGGUAUAAGAUGGACCCGCGUUGGAUUAGCUAGUUGGUGAGGUAACGGCCCACCAAGGCGACGAUCCAUAGCCGACCUGAGAGGGUGACCGGCCACAUUGGGACUGAGACACGGCCCAAACUCCUACGGGAGGCAGCAGUGGGGAAUAUUGCACAAUGGGCGAAAGCCUGAUGCAGCGACGCCGCGUGAGCGAAGAAGUAUUUCGGUAUGUAAAGCUCUAUCAGCAGGG